RNAcentral lists this ribosomal RNA (492 nucleotides) under uncultured bacterium. Its description in RNAcentral is "partial 16S ribosomal RNA". It matches the Rfam family "Bacterial small subunit ribosomal RNA", at positions 29 to 507 of the family's 1533-position model. The record is from RNAcentral.
AGUGAACGCUGGCGGUAGGCCUAACACAUGCCAGUCGAACGGCAGCACAGUAAGAGCUUGCUCUUACGGGUGGCGAGUGGCGGAUGGGUGCGGAAUACAUCGGAAUCUACUUUUUCUUGGGUGCUAACGUAGGGAAACUUACGCCAAUACCGCAUACGACGUACGGGUGAAAGCAGGGGAUCUUCGGACCUUGCGCGAUUGAAUGAGCCGAUGUCGGAUUAGCUAGUUGGCGGGGUAAAGGCCCACCAAGGCGACGAUCCGUAGCUGGUCUGAGAGGAUGAUCAGCCACACUGGAACUGAGACACGGUCCAGACUCCUACGGGAGGCAGCAGUGGGGAAUAUUGGACAAUGGGCGCAAGCCUGAUCCAGCCAUACCGCGUGGGUGAAGAAGGCCUUCGGGUUGUAAAGCACUUUUGUUGGGGAAGAAAAGCAGCAGGUUAAUACCCCGCUGUUCUGACGGUACCAAAAGAAUAAGCACCGGCUAACUUCGUG